This 515-nucleotide ribosomal RNA is filed under the name uncultured bacterium. Its description in RNAcentral is "partial 16S ribosomal RNA". It matches the Rfam family "Bacterial small subunit ribosomal RNA", at positions 28 to 523 of the family's 1533-position model. The record is from RNAcentral.
GAUGAACGCUGGCGGCGUGCCUAAUACAUGCAAGUCGAGCGAAUGGAUUAAGAGCUUGCUCUUAUGAAGUUAGCGGCGGACGGGUGAGUAACACGUGGGUAACCUGCCCAUAAGACUGGGAUAACUCCGGGAAACCGGGGCUAAUACCGGAUAACAUUUUGAACCGCAUGGUUCGAAAUUGAAAGGCGGCUUCGGCUGCCACUUAUGGAUGGACCCGCGUCGCAUUAGCUAGUUGGUGAGGUAACGGCUCACCAAGGCAACGAUGCGUAGCCGACCUGAGAGGGUGAUCGGCCACACUGGGACUGAGACACGGCCCAGACUCCUACGGGAGGCAGCAGUAGGGAAUCUUCCGCAAUGGACGAAGGUCUGACGGAGCAACGCCGCGUGAGUGAUGAAGGCUUUCGGGUCGUAAAACUCUGUUGCUAGGGAAGAACAAGUGCUAGUUGAAUAAGCUGACACCUUGACGGUACCUAACCAGAAAGCCACGGCUAACUACGUGCCAGCCGCCGCUGUAA